RNAcentral lists this long non-coding RNA (317 nucleotides) under Elaeis guineensis (African oil palm). RNAcentral describes it as "long non-coding RNA (EGUI_LNC061625)". Lineage: Eukaryota; Viridiplantae; Streptophyta; Magnoliopsida; Arecales; Arecaceae. The record is from RNAcentral.
GUCCUGUCAAAUCAAACCAUUAAGGAAGAUGAUUAGCCACACACUAGAAAGUGUCGCAUCAACCGCCAUAACAUAAGUGCUCAUGUCAUGGCCAUUAAGGAAAAUGAUUGACCACGUAUGAGAUCGAGUCAUGUCAACCAUUCGGUCUCAGGAAUGUCAACAAGAAUCAUCAAUAAAAAUAGCUAGCCAUGUGCUAGAUAAGGUGUUGCCAUCCUCCAAGUCCACGGAAUUCAAGGACAUCCCAUGAGGGUAGGGUGGCCUCCAAUAGUCCUACCCUCUGACACGACUCCUCUAUAAAUGGAAACAGCCUAAGGACC